GAAAAACAGCAAUGACCAAACUACCUAAAAUCUUACUCAAUGAAUACUGCCUUCUAAGUUAAAUAAGUAAAUAAUCAAAAUUUCGUCUUUGCUCUUUCACGCAAACUUCUCCGUUUUUCUGCAUAUUCUGCCACACCUAUACUAUAAUAUAAACUCAAAUGAAAAAAAAUUCCUACAAAUCUCUGAAAAUUUGAUUUUUUAUUUUAUUUUCGGUGAUAUUAACAAUCGAUUUGCUGUUUGCAUAAUCCAUUUCUAAGAAUUUGAAAUCGUUGAAAAAAAAAAAAAGAAAAAGGAAAUUCUAUGUUGAAAAAAUGAUGCUUUCACGUAUUGGCCGUUCUAUAUCUAAAGCUUCUCGCUCCAAUAUUCACAAAGGUGGUGGAUAUGGCGUGAGGUCGGCGGUGGAUGAGGUGUCCACGAGCGGCGACGGGGCGUGCGUUACACGCGUUAAUGGUGGCGGGUUAGGGUUUGUGAGGAGCUAUUUGACAUCAUCGAUUAUUGGAGGUGGAAAGCAGGGUUUGAGUAACGCGCAGCGCGUGCAGUACACGCUCGAGGUUUUCCUGCGAAGGGCCAAAGAGCCAGAAGUAAAAAAUGAGAAUAGAAAUUGAGCUAUUUUUUUUUUGAAAACUAUGAGAACUAUUAUCCAAAGAACAAGAAAGAAAUUCCCAAAGCAAAUAAUCAGAAGGCUGAAAGUGGCAAAGAGGAAGGUGCAGGUGAGCAAGGAAAUCCUCAAGAGAACUUCAUGAAGCUAAACACAAUUUGCUAACACCCUUGUUAUUUAUUGGGUUUAUUCUGUCAUCUAUCCUUUUAUCUCCUCGAGAGCAGCAGGA
This is a long non-coding RNA of Lycium ferocissimum, 827 nucleotides long. RefSeq lists it as uncharacterized. The transcript has 4 exons. NCBI's taxonomy places the organism in Eukaryota, Viridiplantae, Streptophyta, Magnoliopsida, Solanales, Solanaceae. The record is from RefSeq and is a predicted model, not a curated record.